CUCUUCAAUUCCCUCUCCUUCUUAAGAGUGGAUCUAGCCAAUCAAGGUUGACCAGCUUCUAUAGCUAUUAGAAGUGCUCUAGAUUGUUCCUCAAAUCCGACACAAGAGAGUCUCAUACAAUCCUUAAUUUCAACCACUUUCCGCAUCACCCAAUUAGAUGAGGAAUUAGGCUAAUCAAUUUCAAGAAGGAUAGCACACAACCGAUCAGGGUCCAUUUCUUCAUAAGACUCCUCAACUCUCCUAACUCACUUCCCUCUGCCUCCUCCUCCCCUCCAAGAAUCAUCUGCAUCUCAAAGUUAAGCUCUGGGGGCAAGGGACCCCAAAAACAAACUCCUCAAUGGACCCAAUGACAUUACCACUCAAUUCCACAUCUCCCUCUGCCACUUCCACCCCCUCUGAAACCCUUUCAUUGCCUUCAAAACGUAGCUCAACAAGAACUAGUAACGAUUGAGAAGAGAACCUCCCAACCCUGAGAUGAGAAUCUCCCUUCUAAAUCUCGGGCUUGGAGGAAGACAGCAUGCUCCCCUUCGCCGGAGCUGAACACACCACCUAAGUACCCUCAGAGGGGUCGACUACCACCGUCGUCCCCUUCUGUGAAGAAAGCUCAACCUCCUGUACCGUCAAGGGUAUAAUAUGGACCACCUCAGAGUUCCGAUUCUUAGAUCUGAGGAAUUGAACAGUUGCUGGUGGAUGGACCCCUCUCGAAGAACCUGUCGGAGACUCGCCUGUCGCCGUUGACCCUUUCUGUGACGUCGUAGUGUCUGUCGGAGCCACGGAGCCCUUGGGCUGGGCCACCCCUCCUCUCGGGCUGUUUGAGCCCUGUAUCUCACAUGAAGGCUUUGUCCUCUUGAAACAAGGCCCAUUCCGGCCCACAUGCCCAUCUGCUAACUUAACAUUCAGACCCACAGGCCCAUUCCGCUGCUCCCCCAUCCUUUUUCCUUCUUCCUUAUCCUCCAAAUUUAGGCCCAAACCCAUAAAUAGACCCAACCCUUCAUCUACCUUCUUCAACAUUGACUCCAACCUCUCCUUCCAACCGAAUAACUCUGCCCUUACGUGCCAUAGAGACCCUUCAACUUCUCCAAUUUUCUGCAACACCUCAGCAGGCCAACCAUUCUUCCUUCCAUCCAUCUGCUUCCACCACAGAGCCCUAUAUUUCUUAAUGUGCAUUCCACCACCAGCAUUGAACCAUUCCCUGGAUUGACUUGCUGGGACUAGAAAAUUUUUGGUAGAGUUGCAUAUUAUGUAUCCUGUUGUAGCUUGAUAUUUCACUCAUUAUUGACCAUAUAAGUUAAGCUUUCUUUUGAGAAUUGGGGAAGUAUGCACCUGGUACAGGACUCUGUCUUGCAUUUGACAGUUAAGACAUUCUUCCCAAUUGAAGUUGUUUUUGGCUGAGCAAUUUGUUUUACUAAGCUCAACAAGAAGUUGCAUCCAAGGAAAAAAAAAAAAUUUGAAAGGCCGAAAUGCACCAAUAGCUCCUGUUCAAAUUAAGUCCAAUUAUCCAUAUUUUGUGAUACUCGAUAACCAGAUGAAUAUCACAUAUUAUGAACCAAUAAAAUCCUGUCACAUGUUAAAGUAUUUGCACUUCAUUUUUAUUUCAUUGGCAAUAUAAUAAAAUUAUAAUAAGGGAAAGAACCAAAGGGGAGAGGCAGCAGAGACAGCACUAAAUGAAUGGAAGAAAACCAACAGAAAAAUAUAAAGAAAACAAUGUAUUAGUUGUGGAUCUCAGAUUUCAAACUUCCAAAUAUGUUUGUGAGGUUUCACCUAUUUUAAUGUCGUGGCUUCAAGUGGUAUUUCUAUUUGAAGUUUACUGGAAAAACGAAGGGGUCUUGUACUCGCGUUGUGUCAGUACUUCAAGCAAUUAUAGUCAUUUUUUUUUUCUCAUAUAUGUAGUUCAUUGUUUGCUUGGAUCUUACAAUUCUUAGUCGACUGUGGAAUAAAAAUGAAAAACCAAAACAGAGAGAUUUGCUAGCUUUUUGUCUGCUGAUGUGACUAUGCUUCUCUUAGGGGAUCCAGUGAUGGUUUAAUUCAAUAUGAAGAAAUACAAGAUUUUGCUUCAUUGUAUUGCAAAGUACCUUUGCGGUGAUGGAUCUGAAUUUUAUAGUCUAAUUUCCGUCUCUCUCUCUCUUUCUCUCUCUUCUGCUAAAUUUCUUUUGCUUUUCCUAUUUUGUUUCCAAUAGUCUUUGCUUUGAUGAUAUAGAUUAAAGAUUUAUUUUGUCACAUGGGGUGAUCUUAAUGGUCCAUAAAUCAUGCAAUGGGCAUUUAAAAAUAAUUGAAAGUUCAUCCUUGACAGAAUACAAUCAAAUAUGCAGUCUUGAUGCAUUUUUUGAUGAAUAAUAAAAGAAUUUAUUAACAUACACAAACAGCGUAGCCCGAGAACACAAGAAGUGUAAAAGAGAAAUGUCUAACUAGUAAUAGAAAAGAGAUGAGAAAAGCAUAAAAACUCUGACCAUUAAAAGUGUAGAUGCAUUUCACCCAAAUGAAGGUUUAUUACUAGCUAGAUCUUCGGUUUUCAAUAUGCAAAAGUGUUUUUCACCAAUUGGAGAGUCCAAGAUAGGUUUUCUAUACCAUGGUUGAACCAAAGUUUACUUGGGAAUAAAACAACUCUUGUUCUAUACCCUCCUGAAUUGUCUUUGAUAUUAGCUCAACGUGAGAAAAUAACGAGAAAAAUUCAUGUCUUCAUAUUGAUUAUU
Molecule: long non-coding RNA, 2690 nt
Organism: Juglans microcarpa x Juglans regia
Lineage: Eukaryota; Viridiplantae; Streptophyta; Magnoliopsida; Fagales; Juglandaceae
Exons: 3
Source: RefSeq, a predicted model, not a curated record